CUUGUCCAGUCUCUGUGUUUAAUACCUCUUAAAUUAUUACAGAAUUACGGUGGUCCCCCAAUAUAUUGAAUUGAAAGAAACUGGAGUGUACAUACCUACUUAUUUUCUUGAAGUUUAUCAGUAGCCCACCACUCAAUCCCUCAACACACACACACACACAGAGGAUGAGCGGAGAAGGGAAGGUGGUGUGUGUAACAGGAGGAUCAGGUUACAUAGCUUCCUGGCUAGUUAAUUUCUUGCUACAAAAGGGUUAUACAGUCAAAGCCACCGUUCGUGACCCAAGUGAUCCAAGGAAAACA
Molecule: unclassified non-coding RNA, 299 nt
Filed under: Hevea brasiliensis (rubber tree)
Lineage: Eukaryota; Viridiplantae; Streptophyta; Magnoliopsida; Malpighiales; Euphorbiaceae
Source: RNAcentral